Molecule: ribosomal RNA, 745 nt
Filed under: uncultured archaeon
Lineage: Archaea
Description: bacterial SSU rRNA
Rfam family: Archaeal small subunit ribosomal RNA
Source: RNAcentral
ACCCCGGGAAACUGGGGCUAACUCUCGAUAGGCGAAGAACUCUGGAAUGAGUCUUUACCUAAAUAGUGCAACGUUAUCCUCGUUGCAUCGCCUAAGGAUGAGGCCGCGACCGAUCAGGUUGUUGGCGAGGUAAUGGCUCACCAAGCCUUUUACCGGUGCGGGCCGUGAGAGCGGGAGCCCGGAGAUGGGCACUGAGACAAGGGCCCAGGCCCUACGGGGCGCAGCAGUCGCGAAAACUUUGCAAUAAGCGAAAGCUUGACAGGGCUAUCCCGAGUGCCAUCCGCUGAGGAAGGCUUUUACCCAGUCUAGAACGCUGGGGGAAUAAGGAGAGGGCAAGUCUGGUGUCAGCCGCCGCGGUAAUACCAGCUCUCCGAGUGGUGUGGAUGUUUAUUGGGCCUAAAGCAUCCGUAGCUGGCUAGGUCAGUCCCUUGUUAAAUCCACCGAAUUAAUCGUUGGAUUGCGGGGGAUACUGCUUGGCUAGGGGACGAGAGAGGCAGACGGUAUUUUCGGGGUAGGGGUGAAAUCCUAUAAUCCCGGGAAGACCACCAGUGGCGAAGGCUGUCUGCUAGAACGCGCCCGACGGUGAGGGAUGAAAGCUGGGGGAGCGAACCGGAUUAGAUACCCGGGUAGUCCCAGCUGUAAACGAUGCAGACUAGGUGUUUGGACGGCCACGUGCCGUUCUAGUGCCGCAGGGAAGCUGUUAAGUCUGCCGCCUGGGGAGUACGAUCGCAAGAUUGAAACUUAA